RNAcentral lists this ribosomal RNA (468 nucleotides) under uncultured bacterium. Its description in RNAcentral is "partial 16S ribosomal RNA". It matches the Rfam family "Bacterial small subunit ribosomal RNA", at positions 28 to 507 of the family's 1533-position model. The record is from RNAcentral.
AACGAACGCUGGCGGCGUGCUUAACACAUGCAAGUCGAACGGAAACGCCCUGCUUUUUUGCGCUUCUCGGGUGGCGAACGGGUGAGUAACACGUAAGUAACCUACCCUUCCCUUUCGGGUAACUUCAUGAAACUGGGGCUAAUCCAAGAUAGGAUCUCCCGCUGCAUGGUGGGCGUUGGAUAGUUUCGGCGGUUGGGGAUGGACUCGCGGCUUAUCAGCUUGUUGGUGGGGUAGUGGCUUACCAAGGCUUUGACGGGUAGCCGGCCUGGGAGGGGGACCGGCCACAUGGCGACUGAGAUACGGCGCAGACGAGAAUGGGAGGCAACGGUGGAGAAUAUUGUACAAGGGGAGGGAGUCGGAUGCAGCAACGCAGCGUGCGGGAAGACGGCCUGCGGGUAGUGAACCGCUUUCGCCUGAGACGAAGCGUGAGUGACGGUACCGGGAAAAGAAGCACCGGCUAACUACGUG